Non-coding RNA from Actinomadura sp., 73 nucleotides. The record is from Rfam. Lineage: Bacteria; Bacillati; Actinomycetota; Actinomycetes; Streptosporangiales; Thermomonosporaceae.
GGGUCGCUAGCUCAAUUGGCAGAGCUCCGGACUUUUAAUCCGUAGGUUGUGGGUUCGAGUCCCACGCGACCCA